ACGGAGGAUGCGAGCGUUAUCCGGAUUUAUUGGGUUUAAAGGGUGCGUAGGCGGCUUUGUAAGUCAGCGGUGAAAUUUUGCAGCUUAACUGUAAAAGCGCCGUUGAUACUGUGAAGCUAGGAUUUGGUUGCUGUGGGCGGAAUGUGUGGUGUAGCGGUGAAAUGCAUAGAGAUCACACAGAAUAUCGAUUGCGAAGGCAGCUCACAAAGCCAAUAUUGACGCUGAGGCACGAAAGUGUGGGGAUCAAACAG
Molecule: ribosomal RNA, 251 nt
Filed under: uncultured prokaryote
Description: partial 16S rRNA
Rfam family: Bacterial small subunit ribosomal RNA
Source: RNAcentral